GAAACACAGGGAGUCCAGCACAAAGAUACCUAUGCUUGACCAGCUUUUAGUUCACAGGAUGAAUGCCUAUCUAGAAAUACUGGAGUUUCAGGGGCCAUCUGUCUAAAAUGCAGUAAGAAUUUAUCAAAGUCUCCACCCACCUCAUGACGAGGGCUGGAGGACAGCAGUGGACAAGGGUGAGAAAUCACAAGACCUGAGUUCUAGCCCCACCACCUACUGGUUCUUGCACCUCAUGUAAUUUCUCCUGCCAGAGUCUCCAGUUCCUUAGCUAUGAACCAGAACACCUAUAAUACACCAACUCACCUCACAAGCUUGUGGGAUCAAAUGAAGCAGAGCCUGUUGCAAACUGUAAAGUUCUAUGUGAUUGUUUUUACUAUCCCAACCACAAUCUAUGGCCAGGCAGCUCUUCAUAUAGGAGACAGAUUUCUUCCCCUUGGCAAUAAUUGUAAGUAAUAUAUUCCAGGAUGUUUUGCAUUUUCCUGUGCUUAAAAUAAAACUGAACCCAAACAAGAAUGCA
This is a long non-coding RNA of Prionailurus viverrinus (fishing cat), 517 nucleotides long. RefSeq lists it as uncharacterized. The record is from RefSeq and is a predicted model, not a curated record. Lineage: Eukaryota; Metazoa; Chordata; Mammalia; Carnivora; Felidae. The transcript is spliced from 2 exons.